RNAcentral lists this non-coding RNA (31 nucleotides) under Mus musculus (house mouse). Lineage: Eukaryota; Metazoa; Chordata; Mammalia; Rodentia; Muridae. The record is from RNAcentral.
UGUUUGCAUGGAACUGCUCCACUAUCUAAGC